UCUUAUCUAUUAAAAGAGAAGUCACAACUUCUUUUCAUGUGUGAUUUUUUAAAAAUUGGACUUAUUGGACCUAUUACUAGAAUGUCAUAUAACAUAACCACAUACCCUUCCAAUCUUUUAAUGAAAUUAUCUUGACUCGCGUAAUAAUGGGGAGAUCCACCUACCGUUCGUUUUAUAGUAGAUCUAAAUAUAUAGAAGCAAAAUAUCUCAAAAUUAUCUUGACUCGCGUAAUAAUGGGGAGAUCCACCUACUGUUCGUUUUAUAGUAGAUCCACCUGCAAAUAUAUAGAAGCAAAAUAUCUCAAUAGAUACGGUUUUUCUAGAUUUCUUGCUUGGAUUCAUCUUGGUUAGCUGGGCUUAUCAUUCCUCACGAUCUUCCUCACAAUAUAAUUCCUUGGCUUUCCUUGGAGCCUGUUUGUAAUUUAAAACUGUUAAGAGAAUAAAUUUUGAAGUCAAUCAUUGAACUUUGUAACUAAUUUAUAGAUGAUACAGAACUUACCUAUACUGUUUGAGACGCCUAACCCAUGUACGAGCUCUGAUUCUUGAUCUCAAGAUCAUUUAACAGCUCCUCUGCAGAGAUCUUCCAUAUCAGUCAUCUUCAAGCUGAUUCUCUGCAGAGAUUACAAAAACAGAGCUUAAGAAACCAUAACACUCUCAAUAAGUCAAUUUUUAUACUUUACCUGCACUUAUAGUGAAUGGAGUUAGGCGUCUUUUAAUGAUUUUUGGUUGUGGUAAGCUCCAUUACCAUUUCUUCAGGUAUCCAUCAGAUUAAACUUUCCUGCGAGCAAAUAAAAGAGCAUUUAGUUGUCCAUCAAACUAUCAGUAACUGUCAAACGUCAUGUUCUUUGGCACUAAAUAACACAAAACUAAAAAGUGAACAUAAUAUUGUCCUAUGGUUAAGUUCCUUUGUCAUUGAGUCUGGUUUCUUUGUCAGACGUUGAUAAAAACACCUAUGAUUAAGUUCCUUUGUCAUUGAUAUCAGUUUCCAUGUAACCUGUGUAUUAAUAGUCAAGCUCAAUCGAGAAUUGUUCAAAUUCUUUUGACCAGAGUUUCAGCAAGUGUUCAAUAUAUACGAUUUGAUUCUAAAUUCAUCAGAUAACAGGAAAAAAAAAACGAAUUGAAAGAGAAUUCACAGGGGUAAUAUAAACUGAUCUUAUUUAUUCAUAUUAUAAAAGAAUAGGAGUUUCAAAAAGAAAAUAAUUCACCUCUGUUUUCAGGUACUGAUCGGAAUUGCAUAUUAAAUUAUAUUAGGGUAGAGCUCCAUAUAUUCUUCCGCUGAGGUUUUCAUAUCUCCUUCGAAACAGUACCGAUCUCCGUCUACACAUAUUUGAUAGAUUAAAUCAAUUGAAAAAAUAAACAGAGGUGAACUAAAAUAACCGAAACUAAAACCGUUAUAAAUAGACAUGCUUACUUGAUCUUGGUCGGGAGUCAAGAGAGGAUGGUGUCUGAGAGACGGAUUUAGUCGAUCAAAUAGCUCGAGGAUCGUAGUUAGGAUCAUGUCUAGGUUAAAGAGAAGACAUAAACCAAAGAAAAUGGUUAGGUAGAGAGACACGUUUUUUUCCCGGAGAAAAAUCUGUUAACUGAUCAUUUUGGGC
This 1594-nucleotide long non-coding RNA is filed under the name Brassica rapa (field mustard). RNAcentral's name for it is "long non-coding RNA (BRAP_LNC007865)". Lineage: Eukaryota; Viridiplantae; Streptophyta; Magnoliopsida; Brassicales; Brassicaceae. The record is from RNAcentral.